RNAcentral lists this ribosomal RNA (253 nucleotides) under uncultured bacterium. Its description in RNAcentral is "partial 16S ribosomal RNA". It matches the Rfam family "Bacterial small subunit ribosomal RNA", at positions 524 to 776 of the family's 1533-position model. The record is from RNAcentral.
UACAGAGGUCUCAAGCGUUGUUCGGAUUCAUUGGGCGUAAAGGGCGCGUAGGCGGGGCUGCAAGUCCGCUGUGAAAGCCCGGUGCUUAACACCGGAGGGUCGGUGGAGACUGUGGCUCUUGAAGGUGCUAGGGGGAGAUGGAAUUACCGGUGUAGCGGUGAAAUGCGUAGAGAUCGGUAGGAACACCCGUGGCGAAGGCGGUCUCCUGGGGCAUUCUUGACGCUGAUGCGCGAAAGCUGGGGGAGCGAACGGG